Molecule: long non-coding RNA, 453 nt
Organism: Chenopodium quinoa (quinoa)
Lineage: Eukaryota; Viridiplantae; Streptophyta; Magnoliopsida; Caryophyllales; Amaranthaceae
Exons: 2
Source: RefSeq, a predicted model, not a curated record
CAGAGUAGGGCACAAUUUCUCCAGGGCAGCAAUUGCAUGCGAGGCUUCCAGGGCCGGGAAAAUUCCUUCAAACCUGCACAACCUCUUGUAUGCUGCAAGACAAACAGCAUAUUUAAUUCAGGGCCUCUUCAUCUCUAACUGCAUGGAACUCUGCUCGUCCGCUGUCCUUGAGGUAGCUGAGCUCUGGUCCAACCCCUGGACACUCUAAUCUGCAAGUUCAAGGAAAUCAUAAUUCAGUUAUCUUAAAGCUUUGUACUUCAUUUAGUCUGUCCAGUCUAUGUGCAUGUAAUGAUUAUUUAGUAGAUUAUGAGAUUAUUUGUAGGUUUGUCAAGGUUUAUGGAAUAGUCACCCUAUUAGUGUUGUCUAGUCUAUUUAACUUGUAAUGAUGCUGACAUUUGAACCUCCUUAAUGUUGCCACUAUAAUGUUUUGAUAGCAAGCUUGUUUUCUUUCCA